This 1108-nucleotide ribosomal RNA is filed under the name Salmonella enterica. Its description in RNAcentral is "partial 23S ribosomal RNA". It matches the Rfam family "Bacterial large subunit ribosomal RNA", at positions 711 to 1732 of the family's 2925-position model. Lineage: Bacteria; Pseudomonadati; Pseudomonadota; Gammaproteobacteria; Enterobacterales; Enterobacteriaceae. RNAcentral also lists the same sequence under 2 other names. The record is from RNAcentral.
AGACCCGAAACCCGGUGAUCUAGCCAUGGGCAGGUUGAAGGUUGGGUAACACUAACUGGAGGACCGAACCGACUAAUGUUGAAAAAUUAGCGGAUGACCUGUGGCUGGGGGUGAAAGGCCAAUCAAACCGGGAGAUAGCUGGUUCUCCCCGAAAGCUAUUUAGGUAGCGCCUCGUGAAUUCAUCUCCGGGGGUAGAGCACUGUUUCGGCUAGGGGGCCAUCCCGGCUUACCAACCCGAUGCAAACUGCGAAUACCGGAGAAUGUUAUCACGGGAGACACACGGCGGGUGCUAACGUCCGUCGUGAAGAGGGAAACAACCCAGACCGCCAGCUAAGGUCCCAAAGUCAUGGUUAAGUGGGAAACGAUGUGGGAAGGCCCAGACAGCCAGGAUGUUGGCUUAGAAGCAGCCAUCAUUUAAAGAAAGCGUAAUAGCUCACUGGUCGAGUCGGCCUGCGCGGAAGAUGUAACGGGGCUAAACCAUGCACCGAAGCUGCGGCAGCGAACGUAUCACCCAAGACAACUUUACGGAGUUGACGAUUGACGGAGCGAAGCGACGUCAAAGCGUUCAUUAAAGUCGAGUUGGCUUAGGGAUACGUUCGUUGGGUAGGGGAGCGUUCUGUAAGCCUGUGAAGGUGUGUCGUGAGGCAUGCUGGAGGUAUCAGAAGUGCGAAUGCUGACAUAAGUAACGAUAAAGCGGGUGAAAAGCCCGCUCGCCGGAAGACCAAGGGUUCCUGUCCAACGUUAAUCGGGGCAGGGUGAGUCGACCCCUAAGGCGAGGCCGAAAGGCGUAGUCGAUGGGAAACGGGUUAAUAUUCCCGUACUUGGUGUUACUGCGAAGGGGGGACGGAGAAGGCUAUGUUGGCCGGGCGACGGUUGUCCCGGUUUAAGCGUGUAGGUGUGUGUUCCAGGUAAAUCCGGUUCACUUUAACACUGAGGCGUGAUGACGAGGCACUACGGUGCUGAAGCAACAAAUGCCCUGCUUCCAGGAAAAGCCUCUAAGCAUCAGGUAACAUCAAAUCGUACCCCAAACCGACACAGGUGGUCAGGUAGAGAAUACCAAGGCGCUUGAGAGAACUCGGGUGAAGGAACUAGGCAAAAUGGUGCCGUA